Molecule: RNA transcript, 9944 nt
Organism: Wyeomyia smithii (pitcher-plant mosquito)
Lineage: Eukaryota; Metazoa; Arthropoda; Insecta; Diptera; Culicidae
Exons: 6
Source: RefSeq, a predicted model, not a curated record
AAAAACACAUAUUCUUUAUUACGCUCAAUUACAACACUUUUUAUCCACUCCUAACAUUAUCACCUUGUUUAUUUACAUUGCUCGAUUGGUACCCUCGUUUGACACUGAUUUGGUUCCUUUGGUUUCAUCUUUGCGGGACUCUUAAACAUAGACUCUGGUUCGCACCUACGCAAAGUCCCAUAUGUAUCUCAUAUUGCACUGUUCGCACUUACGCGAAGUCUUAUAUGUACUUAUCAAAACGUGCGUGAUGAGCAAAAUUAUUUCUUUCCUUCUCUUCCCUAUGCAAAAACGAAACAAAAUCGGUUUAUUCCGGUAGAAAGAGAUUUUGAAGGCUGUUCGUUCCUACAUAAACUCUCAUUUGUAAUUGUCAAAAUGUGCGUGAUUACAAAAGCAUGCUUCUAUCUUUUUCUCACGCAAAAACCAACCAAAUAUUAGCAACACCGUCAACGCGAAUAUCAGCAACGCCGUAAACGUGAAUUGUUUUUCAUUACCGAGUUUAUUUUUCAUUGCCGCUAAAAUUAUCGGGUUGAAAAAAAGCUAUUGUUAUUGGUUAAAAAAGUGUUCAGUGUCAAAAAUUUAUUUACUUUUCGAUGUCCGAAAAGAGAAUGAAUAAAAUUAUGAAAAAUUUUUUGGAGAGAGGCUUGCGAGAACCCUGCGCUAGCGAUUCGAAAGGUGAGAAUCAUUUUUAUAACCUACUUUUAAAAAAUGGAAUUCCGUAACUUGAUCAACUUCUGAGGUUUAUAAUAAUCAUUUUAAAUCGAUAUAAAUUAAAACAACAAGCAGUGAUACGUGAGAUUUCAGGACCUUCUGUGCCCUUUUGAUGUACUUUCGAGGCGGCUAGGGACAUCAAAAUUCACAGGAACAGCUAAAGAGCUACCAUCUUUAACCUUUGUUCACAGUUUGAGCUCUAGAGCAAAAUCUGUUUUUAUAAUCAAAUUAGAUUACAAAAACCGCUUCAGAAUACCUACUAUCAGCAUAAAACUAAAUAUCGGCAGUCAGCGAUUCAUCAAAAUCAGGAAAAACGUCAUCAACGGUUUUACUUGGAAAAUGUGAAGCAGUGAAGCAGAACGGAGCCAUGUGAGAAUAUUUGCGAGUAAAAGUUAUGGUUCUAUGUAAAAAAUUAACAACCGGUUCAUGCCACACCGUGUGCCUUGCUCAAAUAAAUGGUAUUUCAAAUAGUUCAGUAAUAUAAUCUAUCAUUUGAUAGUAAAUUAAAUUCAGAUAGUCUUAGCUACCAACUAGAUAACACAAUAAAGAAAACGGUGGUUUGUUUUCGAAAGACAUAAAAUAUUCAAACAAACCAUAACACUUGUAAACAUAGGUUUUACCCUGGAGCUCAAACUGGAAAAAAAAGGAAAUAUUAUAGCUUCUCAACCACUCUCGUGAAUGAUGGUGUCCCUAGCAAAGAAAACGUUUUCAGAAACUCAAAUGAGUUUUCUCAUAAGCAAACGUAGAAGAGACGAACUCGAAGAGGAAUCACUAUACAGGCCAAAAUGCCAUAAAAUUUCAGAGCGACUUGCUUGAGUUCUGGGGCAACUUUUUUAAACUUCGGUCGACCAGUGUUAUUAUUUUAAAUUCUAUCAAACUGGAUGUGUUUCAUGGAAAAAAAAAUUUUUUUUUGGUUAAGAUUCAAGUUAGCAAAAGCGAAGCUAAACUAUUCAAAUUACUACUGGUGGGAUUUUCAGUAGGAUCCAGUUUAUUUCUGACCUUUUAUAGUUUUGUGAUUUGGGUGUGAGAAGCUAUGAUAGUCGUAAACUAAAUCAGUUAAAAAUAAAUUUGAAUAGUCAGAAUUUUUUUUUUGAAAGAUCAGGGAAAUUCAGAAAAUAUCAUAUAUAAUGAAAUAUCAUGAAAAUAUAAUAUAUUUUUGGAAAUUGAGUCCGAAUUUGAAUUCGUCAACAACGAGGUAGGUAGACGAAUUCGUCAACUUACCUCGAGCUCAUCGCUGUCAAUUGUCACUGUGCUGCCUAAGCGGGCCCUGUCGUGCUCGGUUUCGUCAGCCAGCAUGUACUUUUUUUCUGUGUGGACUCAUCACUGCGAUUAGAGCUUAGAUCUAUUGUGAUAUUGCCCAGUUGUUUUCUGUACUUCAUAUUAUUGCAGUAUCAUCAUUGAAGUAAGUGAUACGCUUAUCAUUCAUAUUCGUGCCAUUCCGUUUCAAGCUUACUGCUCUACUAUUAUACCGAACCUCUGUCCACCCUAAAAAAGUCGCCUAUUUACAAUUCCCUGUAGACUUUCAUACGUUACUCACACCAGUUUUAUAAUGCAGUUAUACCUCGAUACAAGGCAACUUUAUUUUUAUUUUCGUUACGUUAUAUCUAUUUAUUUAUUUUUAAACCUUUCUUAUGCCCAAUUUAUUUUUCAAUUUAUACAAAAGGUUGCUCAAAGAUGCGUGAAAACCGAUGGGAAAUAUCAGUAUUUUUAAACCAUUCUUAUGCCCAUUUAGGGCAAUUUUCAACAAGCAUAAUUUUUUUUUUAUUGAUGCAAGAUUGUUGGUGGUUACUCACAGAUGCGCGUAAACCUAUUUCCCAUCACCUAUCAGUAGUUUUGAACAAUUCUUAUGCCCAUUCAGAGAAAAUUUCAACAAGCUAAACAAUUUUUUUUUUAAUUAAUGAAAGACUGUGAAUUGUUACUGAAGGAUGCGUGGAAACCUAUUUCCCAUCACCUAUUGGCAUUUUUAAACCUUUCUUAUGCUCAUUUUGAACAAUUUCAAAACUUACUACAAACAUUUUUUUAAGCAAUUUAUAGCCCAAAAACAGUUGCUGUAUCAUUUAUUUUCAAUUUCAAUAUAUUUUAAAAGCAACGUUAUAUCGAGGUAAAAGUUACGUUAUAUAGAGUUACGCUACAUCGAGGUUCCUUUAUAUCGAGGUUGCCUUAUAUCGAGGUAUGAAUGUAAUAGGGACUUAUUUUUGUUAGAAGGAGAGUCAACAGGGGUACUGUAGAAUUCAGAUUGAAGGAAGGGUACGUGGUGCGGAGCCUGAGAAUAAACCCAUGCUAAAAUUAAACUCUUUUAGCUGAUAUAUAAAAAUCAGGAAGCCGUGAAUAGCUGAACAACCCAAUUGUAUUGUCUGUUUCUUUCAAAACAAUAUGCGCCAAAUUAGUCGCAGAAAUCGUCGUCAUGGAGUUUGUAUGGCAACGAUUUCUGCGACGAAUUUGGCGCGUUUCGUUUAAAAUCGAUGAAUAGAUAGUGCGUAGAGACUUUGUUCUCACGGCCCUUUUGGAGGAUCUGCGCGAAGUGAAGAUCUGAUUGCUAUCUUCCCAAGAAUCCAUUUACUAAGGACGACAGACGUUAGAAGAUAACUUGGGAACAGUCAGGCGAUGCAGGCACUAGGGAUUUUGCUGUCCCCUCUUCUGUAUAUAUCGCUCCACGUCUUGACGAAUAGCUCGACGCAACAUUAUUACCCGCCCAACGUUGUUCUCGUCCAACACUUUCCUACACUCAUUCCGUCGGUUUCGUACCACAUGCCCCAGGACGUUCUUCGCUACGCUGUUAAUGACUGUUUUCACGGCACUCUAACAGUCCUCGAGAGGGGUUUCAAUCAACUCGGCCUCCUCCGGCAGCGAUGCUUCAAGGUAAUGCACGUAGUUUUCAGCGACCUGGUAGAUACUGGUAUGACCAUCCAAAACAUACGUACCAUAGAAUCUUUCUAGCGCACCUCUGGUAGCUUCCAAUUGCAUCAAUGAAAUUGAGUGAUCGACAGUUUCAUGUUCCGAGUUUCAAAUCGUUAGUCCGUUUUCGUGGCCUGGGUCUAUGUCGAUUAUUCGGUUCGAAUUAUUUUGUUCUUCGUUUGUUACUUACCUUACCAAUCAGACGAGAGCCGUGGUGGCUCGUGCUGUAUCAAGAAUUUGUCGCCAUGUUGCCCGGUUUUGGGCUGUGUUUCGCCAGUUUCCCAGGCGUCUCAUCACCCGCAAGUCUCCUUCAAUCUGGUCGAGCCAUCGUGUACGCUGCUCCCCUCUAUUUCUGGUGCCGGUAGGGUUGCUGAAGAGAAAUGAUUUCGCAGGGUUGUCACCCGGCAUCCUUACGACGUGACCGGCUCACCGCAACCUAUUGACUUUCGCCAGGUGUGCAAUGGGAUUUGGAGAGAAUCAGCGCGUGCAGUUCAUGGUUCAUGCGCCGUCGCCAUUCUCCGUCGUUCGUCUGUACUCCACCGUUGAUAGUCCGCAGCACCUUCCGUUUGAAAACUUCAAGAGCGUUAAGGUCCCCCGCGAGAAGCGUUGUUGUCUCGAUCCCGUAGAGGACUAACGGUCUUAUCAGGGUUUUGUACAGCGUCAACUUCGUGCGUCGUCGCACUCGAUUCGAUCGAAGUGUCUUCCGAAGUGAAAAGUAGGCACGAUUUCCUGCCUGGAUGCGUUUCUGGAUCUCUUUGCUGGUGUUAUUGUCGGCGGUCACCAGUGACCCCAAAUACACGAACUCAUCGACCACCUCAAGCUCAUCACUGUCUACAGAGACUUGAGUUCGGAGGCUGAUGUUGUUUUCCUUGGAGCCUCUCGCGCGCAUGUAUUUUGUUUUCGACGCAUUUAUCCGCAGUCCGAUCCGUCCAGCUUCGGCUUUCAGUCGGGUGUGAGUUUCCCCCGCCGUCGCAAAGUUACGUGAUAUGAUGUCAAAGUCAUCCGCGAAGCCCAGAAGCUGAACGGACCUUGUGAAAAUCGUGCCCUUCGUGUCAAUUCCCGCCCUCCGGAUCACACUCUCAAGGGCGAUGAUAAACAACAAACAGGAAAGUCCAUCACCUUGUCUCAACCCUCUGUGCGAUUCAAAGGGACUCGAGAGUAUCUCCGAAACACGCACGUAGCACAUCACUUGCGCCAUUGUGGCUCUGAUCAAUCGAGUCAGUUUAUCCAGAAGUCCGUUGUCGUGCAUGAUAUGCCAUAGCUGUUCUCGAUCGACUGUAUCAUAGGCCGCCGUGAAGUCAAUGAAGAUUUGAUGUGUGGGCACGUUGUACUCGCGACAUUUCUGUAAGAUCUGUCAGAUUGAGAAGAUGGUCCGUGGUGGCACGGGCUCCCAUGAAACCCGCUCGGUACUGACCCACGAACCUCCUGGUUAAAGGUGAUAGACGACGACGGAACAGGAUCUGUGAAAGUAUUUUGUAGGCGGCACUGAUAAGCGAGAUAUCGCGGUAGUUGCGCCAUUCCAGCUUGUCGCCCUUCUUGUAGAUGGGACAGACGACUUCCUCCAUCCACUCGUCUGGCAGUUUUCCCUCCUCCCAAAUCCUGGAAAUGACCCAGUGCAGCGCUCUAGCCACCGCCUCUCUUCCAUGUUUUAAGUGCUCGCUCGGUAGUCCGUCUUUGUUGUUUUCCAGCUUCCCGAUCUCACAGAGAACUUCACGAAUAUCGGGGGCUGGUCAUCCGCUGCUGGUGCUCCUAGGUCAGUUCCUGCUCCGCUUCUGUUUACUAUUUCGCCAUUCAGGUGUCCAUCGAAGUACUCCUUCCACCUGUCAACCACCUCGCUGCCAUUCGUGAGAAGGUUCCCAUCCGCGUCGUUGCACAUAUCGCUUGUGGCAUACAGCCUCUGCGGGACUGGUUUACCUUCUCAUAAAACUUCACUGGCACAGUACAGCUGCGCUAGCUCCUCAUGUUCACGAUCCUCUUGCUGGUGCUUCUUUCGUCGGAGAAUCGUGGUCAUGUCAUUCCGUGCCCGUUUGUCAUUGGCCUUGUUCUCUCUCGUUGACCUGCCCAGGUAUAUCGCCCAGGUCCGGUUCUUCUCAUUCACCGCUGCCUCGCACUCCCUGUCCCUGUCAUACCUGUCGUUUCUGCCACUCGGUGCUUUCACUCCUGGUGUCGCCGUUGCGGUCUCCCCGAUAGCUGUGCGAAUGCUGCACCAGCCGUCUUCGAGAGGCAAUGCGCCCAGAUACUCCGCUGUGGGGAAGACCGCUCCAAGCUGUUGCGCGUAUUCCUCCGCAGCCUGGGAGUUCCGGAGCUGCUUAAUGUUGAAGCGGAGUUCGGCUAUGUCGCCCGUGGUAUACGGUCGACAGUUUUGAGCGCAAUGAUACCGCAACUAGGUAGUGGUUCGAGCCAAUAUCCGCACCGCGAUAGGUACGUACGUUUGUAAUGUCAGAGAAGAAUCGGCCGUCGAUGAGAACAUGGUCAAUUUGAUUUGCUCAACGUUGGUCAGGUGAUCCCCAGGUGGUUUUGUGGAUGUCCUUACGGGGAAAGAAGGUACUUCGGACUGAUAGUCCACGGGAAGCUACGAAGUUGACGCAUCACUGGCCGUUGUCGUUCGUCACGGUGUGCAGGCUGUGCGGGCCGUUCACCGGCUUGUAUAUUUCUUCCCUACCGAUCUGUGCGUUCAUGUCCCCGAUGACGAUCUUGAUGUCUACGCGAGCAGCUAUCGUAGAGUUUCACCAGCUGUGCGUAGAACUCUUCUUUCUCUAAAUCGGGUCUUCCUUCGUGAGGGCAGUGCACAGGGUAGUGUAGUUGUAGAAACAGAACAACCUGUUGCUGAUCGCCUGCCACUUGAUCACACGGCUCUGCAUCCUGCUCAGCACUAUGAAGCCGGUACUCAGCUCAUUGGUUGUGCCCUCGCUCUGGUAGGACUGUACCCUGUGACCACAAAUCCUCCAUACCUUCUCUCCUUUCCGGCAACGCUCCUGGAGCGCAACGAUGUCGAAGUGGCGGGAAUCCGGUUUCUACCCGGGGCGUUCAGUGAUUUACAUUUCCAUGUACCGAGCUUCCAAUCGUCGUCCUUAUUUCGUCGCCUAGGUCGUUGCCAAUUGUUCCGGUCCGUAUUCAAUUCUUGAUUGUUCGUAGUAUUUUGAUGUUUCGGCAUGCUGCCUCACUAGGGCUGCGGAUGCCUAGUCUGCGACGGGGCUGCCGUCUCGGGUGUAGCUGGCGAGACGCCGCAUUUCAUAAUUCAGCCGUCCGCUCCGGAUCAGACGCUGUUUGAGCCGCCCCUUACAUGGGGAACAGAAGCUCGGACAAGCUGCCCUCCUAAGAGAGCAGCUCUCCCUUUCCUGUCAGCAUACGACCAAGUUUCCACCGGUUCACCGAUCUUCCUUUGGUUGCUCGUAUCCCAGUCGGUACCACGCGGAGAUAGGGAUAGGAGUUGCAGGGCAUUAUGCUUUGGACCACACUGGGGUCUAUUUUAUGCCAACUAGUACGGGUGUAUUGCUGGUGCGCACUGCCCAGCCGUUUCGUUUGUUGCUAAGUUGUUUUUCCUGGUGCAGGCUCGCAAGGCCAGCAACCAACCCCACUGUCUCAAAGAAGGACAAACGUGCUACCACUGUUCUAAGUCCCGAAUACGUUUUGGCUUUGGUUUCUAGAGUCCUGGGUGCACUAACAAGACGGUAGUUCAGCCGCUCCUAACAUGAAGAACAGACGCUGUUUCUAGCCACCCCAUACAUGGAGGUCAGACGCUCAAAUCAGCUCUCAAAAAAGCCCCCUUUACUGUCAGCAUACGACUAGAGAUCCCCCCCCCCCAGGGAGGUACGGAUAGGAGGCUAAAGGGUCACCAGUGAUACUUCACAUGGAUUUAUUUUAUACCUGUAGAUACGAGAUAUGGUGCGCCUUCUCCAGCCAUUUACAAACCAAGCUCGUUACUUAUUGAUUUUAAUAGUAAGUUGUGUUCUAUUGAAUCUGUUUCUUUGUUUUAUUUUGUCUGGAACAAAGCGAGCGACCCGGAACAUCAAAUCCAAACAGAAGACUACAACAACAACACAAUAGCUAUGGAAAUAGACAGCAAUGAGGAACUUGCAAUUAGUGAAAAUGAGGCAAGAAUAAGUUUAACCGUAAAAAAGAAAAAAUGUUGUGAAGGCUGUUUUGUCUAGAUAUGAACCGUUGCAGAUAUACUUUGGACUUGCGUCAAACGUUGAUAAUUUAUCGAACGCAUCGAAAAUUCAUAAAACGCUCGCUGAUACCGUUACCGAAAUCUACCUGUUAUUUUUAGAUUUCAUUUUGCCGUUCGUUGAUAAUAUGAACAAACUUUGCAAUCGGAAAAACCGGAAAUCAUUUCACUCCAUGCAACUUUAUCAAGAAAACUUAGACAGUUACUUAGCUACUUCAUAAAAGAUGAUGUCACGCGAUCUACAAACUUGACUGAUAUUAAAUUUCACCCCCAUGAUUUCAAGCCGGUUCAUGAUGUGUACCUAGGAGUAAAGGUAGCUACCCAACUAGAUGCCAGUAAAAUUGAAAAAACACAAUUGUUUGCUAUACAAAAUACGUGCACUGCGUUUUACCUAGAGUUAGCCUUGCAAAUGUUUAAACGGUUCCAAUUAGAGAAUGAAAUCUAUAAAAGUAUUCAAAUGUUGGAACCCAUCAACAUUGUUGAGGGGAGAAGUUUGAGCGUUGGCCCCGUUUUACCACAUUUCCCAACUGUAAUACCAGGUAGCAUGUGGCAGGAUGUUGAUAACGAAUUUAAUGAAAUUAGGCACUUGAAUUUCAAAUGCUUAGGACUAACGCAAUUAAAUAACGCGGAGGAUUUUUGGAUUAAAAUAACGAAUUUCCGCGAUAGAAAUGAUGCACUGAAGUAUCCGUAAUUGGCACGACUUAUGAGAGCAAUACUAUCUUUACCACAUUCAUCGGCGGCAGCUGAAAGGAUAUUCUCCGCCCAAAAUUUGAACAAAACCAAAACCAAAAACCGUUUGAAAAAUGCUUCCCUAGUGGGAAUUCUCCGAACAAAAGAUUGGAUAAAAACAUUCGGAAAUCCGAAUACAGCGCAAAUUCCGACGGAAAUGCGAUUUAAAUUUAAUAGUCAAAUGUAUUCUAUCGCUGUUGAAGACAACGAAUGUGAAACUGAAGAUUACCAUGAUGUCCUAGAACUUCUCUAAUAAAUAGAUUCAGUAUCAUCUGUUUAUGUUUCCUAGCUGGUUCUCUAAGAGGAGAAUAGUGUUGUAACUUGCUACAAUCUGAUCAAUCUGAUUGAAAAAAAAAGAUCAACAUCACAGAUGAGAAAACCAUCCUUGAAUUGAACUUUUUAUUUUGGAAUUGGGAAACAGACCCCCGCGAUUUAUUAGAAAUCGUACGCAUUGUAUUUCAAAAAAAAAAGAUGGAAAAUAUUCAUAACAUUUAUCGUGAGCAUAUUGAUUCUAUCGAGAAUCACAAAAAGUUCCCAGAUUUAGUGAAGAAAAGAUUAUUGGUUCAAAAAUAACGUCAGUUGAGAAACAGGACCGAACUAAUUAAAAACUGCUUACAAUUUUGCGCGAUGGAUCGAUGGACUUUGUCUAUUGCUAGUCCCAUCGAUAUACAAGAGCGUCGACAUCAUUGCACAUCGGAUUCUUCAGCUACAAAUGUAAAAUAUUCAAAAAGGUUGGAGGAAGGUUGCUAAAUUUUGGUAACAGUGCAAGUCGAAUGGAAAUGUUGGAAAAAACAAGGGGUUCAUUCAGCGCCAUCAGGCACUCCUACAUACACGGCUCUUUGUGUCAGUAGUGAUUUGAAGGUAAUUGAAUUUUCAUGUGCCACAGUAAUCUGUUUGUAAGCGAUGAAUUUUAUAAGCUACAACAGCAACGAAAAGCAAAACAAUGACAAAGCAUUAAAAUUUAUAAAGUGAAACAUUAAACAAGUAUGCAAAUCGGAUUCUUCAGCUACAAAUGGCAAAAAAGUGAUAGCAGGCGGGAAAGUGACAUUACCAUAUAUCUCCAGAAAUACGAUUUAUCAGUAACGGACUCGGAAAAUCAAUCUUGCUGGAGCAAGAAACUCGUUUUCGAAUGCUUUUUUGAACCAAUCAUUAUCUUCACACACCAGCUUAAGAGGUUGAGGCCCAAUGAAAAAUUUCUAUCGUUGAUUUUCAGAUUUCGAGCACGUUCAAGAAUCAUCUGUACUCGACUAUACGUGCGGAACAGGAUCCAACUGGUCGAAUACUGCUUACAACUUUGUGCGACAAAUCGAAUCCGUUGAAUGUGCCUAUUGCUAGUCUCAUUGAUUUAACAAUAGCGUUAACGUAAUCUGGUAAUAAUUAUGAAAAUGAAACUUCGAAUAAAUUGUUAUUCAAAACCCACAACAUGCCAAAAUAAAAAAAAUCA